AGCCACCAAUAAAUAUGCAAGAAAGGACUUGGACAAGAAAAUGCUGAUCACUGAAAGGAGUGUUAUCUCCAACAUCCUUACACACAUGGUUGUGAAGAAAAAUGGGACAAAGUUUAGAAGCAGUACAGUAGUAGCUCAAAAGAGAGAAUUGGGUGAGAAAUCAAGGGACAAACAGGAACCCAUUUUUCCAUUGAGAGUUUCAAACACAAUUCUUACUCAGUCUGCAGUUACAGUACUUGGAUUGGGGUUCAUUGAUGCCGGGUAUAGUGGAGAUUGGUCAAGGAUUGGAGUGAUUUCAAAGGAGACUGAAGAUUUGUUAAAGCUUGCAGCAUUUGUUGUAGUCCCUUUGUGCCUCUUUCUCAUAUUUUCUUUCUCUAAGAGACAUGAGGCUUGAAAUUUCGAAUAUGAUUGUACCAUUUUCUACGCAACCACACUUUUUCUUAAAUAAAUAAAUAAAAGAAUUUUGAGGUGGUUUGCUUUCCUUGUCCUUUCACUUGGCAAGAGCCAUGACAUGCCCUAUAAAAAAAGGGUAAUAUUUUUGUCAGUUUGCCUCAAAAUUCGGCCUUUUACCAUUAAACAAAAAAAAUGCAACUUCUGUUCCCUGGUCGGAGA
Camellia sinensis is the source of this 612-nucleotide non-coding RNA. NCBI's taxonomy places the organism in Eukaryota, Viridiplantae, Streptophyta, Magnoliopsida, Ericales, Theaceae. The record is from RefSeq and is a predicted model, not a curated record.